RNAcentral lists this ribosomal RNA (488 nucleotides) under Anaplasma phagocytophilum. Its description in RNAcentral is "bacterial SSU rRNA". It matches the Rfam family "Bacterial small subunit ribosomal RNA", at positions 90 to 613 of the family's 1533-position model. Lineage: Bacteria; Pseudomonadati; Pseudomonadota; Alphaproteobacteria; Rickettsiales; Anaplasmataceae. The record is from RNAcentral.
AAUUAGUGGCAGACGGGUGAGUAAUGCAUAGGAAUCUACCUAGUAGUAUGGGAUAGCCACUAGAAAUGGUGGGUAAUACUGUAUAAUCCCUGCGGGGGAAAGAUUUAUCGCUAUUAGAUGAGCCUAUGUUAGAUUAGCUAGUUGGUAGGGUAAAGGCCUACCAAGGCAGUGAUCUAUAGCUGGUCUGAGAGGAUGAUCAGCCACACUGGAACUGAGAUACGGUCCAGACUCCUACGGGAGGCAGCAGUGGGGAAUAUUGGACAAUGGGCGCAAGCCUGAUCCAGCUAUGCCGCGUGAGUGAGGAAGGCCUUAGGGUUGUAAAACUCUUUCAGUGGGGAAGAUAAUGACGGUACCCACAGAAGAAGUCCCGGCAAACUCCGUGCCAGCAGCCGCGGUAAUACGGAGGGGGCAAGCGUUGUUCGGAAUUAUUGGGCGUAAAGGGCAUGUAGGCGGUUCGGUAAGUUAAAGGUGAAAUGCCAGGGCUUAAC